This 487-nucleotide long non-coding RNA is filed under the name Mytilus galloprovincialis (Mediterranean mussel). Lineage: Eukaryota; Metazoa; Mollusca; Bivalvia; Mytilida; Mytilidae. The record is from RNAcentral.
AUUUUUUUUAUAAAUGUUUCAGGUUUUUUUUCAAAUGGUGCAGAAACAAAUGUUUAUAUAUAUUCUUUUAAUACAUUUACUGUUAAGUAAAUUGAUUCCUUGGACAGAUUGUCUUUUUCUCAGGUCUCUAACAGUUUGCAAUUGGUGCAUAACUACAGUGUGCCAUGUGAUACUCUCCUCUAGACACCUACAUACAUGUAUAAUACAAAUCUGAGGAUUCUUCUCCUGGGACCACAGGCACUCGUCUCAGAUCCCCCUCCCCCCCCUAUAUACCGUUAUAUAGGUACGAAAUGUAUAUAUAAAAAAAAAUCUGGGACCCCUUAUUCCUGUAAAAUGAGAUUUCUUUCCUAAAUAACAUAACAUUGAAUUGUGAACGUUUUUUCUGCCUGAUCACUUAUUUUCAAGGGACAGAAACACUACCGGGGUAUUUGCAAACUUUGUACUUGGACAUGAAGAAAUGUGCUUGAUCAUCAUGAUCAUGUUUAUG